GUAGGUGGCAAGCGUUGUCCGGAAUUAUUGGGCGUAAAGCGCGCGCAGGCGGUUCUUUAAGUCUGAUGUGAAAGCCCACGGGCUCAACCGUGGAGGGUCAUUGGAAACUGGAGAACUUGAGUACAGAAGAGGAAAGCGGAAUUCCACGUGUAGCGGUGAAAUGCGUAGAGAUGUGGAGGAACACCAGUGGCGAAGGCGGCUUUCUGGUCUGUAAUUGACGCUGAGGCGCGAAAGCGUGGGGAGCAAACAGGAUUAGAUACCCUGGUAGUCCACGCCGUAAACGAUGAGUGCUAAGUGUUAGGGGGUUUCCGCCCCUUAGUGCUGCAGCUAACGCAUUAAGCACUCCGCCUGGGGAGUACGGCCGCAAGGCUG
RNAcentral lists this ribosomal RNA (372 nucleotides) under uncultured organism. Its description in RNAcentral is "partial 16S ribosomal RNA". It matches the Rfam family "Bacterial small subunit ribosomal RNA", at positions 527 to 896 of the family's 1533-position model. The record is from RNAcentral.